RNAcentral lists this ribosomal RNA (456 nucleotides) under uncultured bacterium. RNAcentral's name for it is "bacterial SSU rRNA". It matches the Rfam family "Bacterial small subunit ribosomal RNA", at positions 347 to 793 of the family's 1533-position model. The record is from RNAcentral.
AGCAGCAGUGGGAAUAUUGCACAGUAGGGGAAACCCUGAUGCAGCCAUGCCGCGUGUGUGAAGAAGGCCUUUCGGGUUGUAAAGCACUUUCAGUAGGGAGGAAGGUAGUGUAGUUAACACCUGCAUUAUUUGACGUUACCUACAGAAGAAGCACCGGCUAACUCCGUGCCAGCAGCCGCGGUAAUACGGAGGGGUGCGAGCGUUAAUCGGAAUUACUGGGCGUAAAGCGCAUGCAGGCGGCCUGUUAAGUCAGAUGUGAAAGCCCGGGGCUUAACCUCGGAAUUGCAUUUGAAACUGGCAGGCUAGAGUCUUGUAGAGGGGGGUAGGAAUUUCAGGUGUAGCGGUGAAAUGCGUAGAGAUCUGAAGGAAUACCAGUGGCGAAGGCGGCCCCCUGGACAAAGACUGACGCUCAGAUGCGAAAGCGUGGGGAGCAAACAGGAUUAGAUACCCUGGUAG